Molecule: small nuclear RNA, 107 nt
Filed under: Balaenoptera musculus (blue whale)
Lineage: Eukaryota; Metazoa; Chordata; Mammalia; Artiodactyla; Balaenopteridae
Source: RNAcentral
GUGCUCACUUUGGCAGCACGUAUACUAAAAUUGGAAUGAUACAGAGAAGAUUAGCAUGGCCCCUGCACAAGGAUGACACGCAAAUUCAUGAAGCAUUCCAUAUUUUU